This is a non-coding RNA of Podarcis lilfordi (Lilford's wall lizard), 84 nucleotides long. Lineage: Eukaryota; Metazoa; Chordata; Lepidosauria; Squamata; Lacertidae. The record is from the annotation of a GenBank genome assembly.
AGCUGUGAGCCAAAUCUUGAUCCUACUGAGAUCAGCAAUAGUUUGCCACUGAUUUCAAUAGGAUUAGGACUUGGCUCUUUAACU